AAUCCAUGAUGUGGGCAUCUUUGUAUUAGCAUUUGAAAAUGCUCCCGAGUUUCAUGAGAGCUAUCUCCUUCUAACUGUUUGAACUUUGCGAUCUCUCUCCUUAGUUG
This is a non-coding RNA of Gossypium hirsutum (cotton), 107 nucleotides long. The record is from Rfam. Lineage: Eukaryota; Viridiplantae; Streptophyta; Magnoliopsida; Malvales; Malvaceae.